Molecule: ribosomal RNA, 591 nt
Filed under: Trichoderma virens
Lineage: Eukaryota; Fungi; Ascomycota; Sordariomycetes; Hypocreales; Hypocreaceae
Description: eukaryotic LSU rRNA
Rfam family: 5.8S ribosomal RNA (bases 205-358)
Source: RNAcentral
GUGUGCGUGCGAGGUAGGCUCUUUGCGUCUGCGCCGUUACCGUUUAGUUGACUCUGCUGCUAUCUCUGCCCCGGGUGCGUCUGACCCCCGGACCGCUGCGCCCGCCGGAGGACCAACCAAAACUCUUAUUGUAUACCCCCUCGCGGGUUUUUUACUAUCAGAGCCAUCUCGGCGCCCCUCGUGGGCGUUUCGAAAAUGAAUCAAAACUUUCAACAACGGAUCUCUUGGUUCUGGCAUCGAUGAAGAACGCAGCGAAAUGCGAUAAGUAAUGUGAAUUGCAGAAUUCAGUGAAUCAUCCAAUCUUUGAACGCACAUUGCGCCCGCCAGUAUUCUGGCGGGCAUGCCUGUCCGAGCGUCAUUUCAACCCUCGAACCCCUCCGGGGGGUCGGCGUUGGGGAUCGGCCCUUUACGGGGCCGGCCCCGAAAUACAGUGGCGGUCUCGCCGCAGCCUCUCCUGCGCAGUAGUUUGCACACUCGCAUCGGGAGCGCGGCGCGUCCACAGCCGUUAAACACCCCAAACUUCUGAAAUGUUGACCUCGGAUCAGGUAGGAAUACCCGCUGAACUUAAGCAUAUCAAAAUCCAGAAGGAAA